AGCAGCCGCGGUAAUUCCAGCUCCAAUAGCGUAUAUUAAAGUUGUUGCAGUUAAAAAGCUCGUAGUUGAAUUUCGGGAUCAGACUGUCGGUCGUGCCUCGGUACGCACUGGCAUUAUUGGUUCCUACCUUCUGAAGAACCGCGAUGUCAUUAAUUUGGUGUCGCGGGGAAUCAGGACUGUUACUUUGAAAAAAUUAGAGUGUUUAAAGCAGGCGCACGCUUGAAUACAUUAGCAUGGAAUAAUGAAAUAGGACGUUUGAUUCUAUUUUGUUGGUUUCUAGGAUCGACGUAAUGAUUAAUAGGGAUAGUUGGGGGCAUUAGUAUUCAAUUGUCAGAGGUGAAAUUCUUGGAUUUAUUGAAGACUAACUACUGCGAAAGCAUUUGCCAAGGAUGUUUUCAUUAAUCAAGAACGAAAGUUAGGGGAUCGAAGACGAUCAGAUACCGUCGUAGUCUUAACCAUAAACUAUGCCGACUAGGGAUCGGAUGAUGUUAAUUUUUUAAUGACUCAUUCGGCGCCUUACG
RNAcentral lists this ribosomal RNA (521 nucleotides) under uncultured Glomeraceae. RNAcentral describes it as "SSU rRNA". It matches the Rfam family "Eukaryotic small subunit ribosomal RNA", at positions 569 to 1092 of the family's 1831-position model. Lineage: Eukaryota; Fungi; Glomeromycota; Glomeromycetes; Glomerales; Glomeraceae. The record is from RNAcentral.